AAAAAAAAAAAAAAAACCUUCAAAUCCAGGUUAAGUGAUCUUUCUUUUCCAAAAAAGAAUUUAUCUCCAAAUUGUUCCAAGAAAUGCGGAUGGAGCAACUUUCCACAGGCUUUAUCCUUCAAAACAUGCCCAGCAAAUAUCAAGACUACCAUAUAUGUCCAAGAUAAUGACGUCAUCAAUUGGAUAUUGCUGUUUAUUAUACUUUGAUUUUGUUGUAAUAUAUGCUUUCACUUAUUUUUUUCGCUGUGAUGAAUGAGAUGCAUUGUUAAGGGCUUAUUUUGUCUUAUGUCCAGUGUGGAAUUCACUGUUUAUGCCAAUGUGACAUUUCAAAGCAGAAAAUUUUUCUUUGAAAAAUUUUCAAAUGAAAAUCAUGUCCAAUAAUUUAUAUGAAACAAACAGUUAACGUAAUAUGCAGGCUGACUUUAAGAACGUCAAAUCAAGUGGAAGUGAAUGGCAAGAAUCUGGCAUCAUUUGCAGAUGAUUAUAGAAAACUGGCAAUUGACUGCCUGAAGGUUUUGCGUGUAGAGAUGCAAUUGGAGACUAUUU
This 546-nucleotide unclassified non-coding RNA is filed under the name Hevea brasiliensis (rubber tree). Lineage: Eukaryota; Viridiplantae; Streptophyta; Magnoliopsida; Malpighiales; Euphorbiaceae. The record is from RNAcentral.